Molecule: ribosomal RNA, 1164 nt
Filed under: Triticum aestivum (bread wheat)
Lineage: Eukaryota; Viridiplantae; Streptophyta; Magnoliopsida; Poales; Poaceae
Description: partial small subunit ribosomal RNA
Source: RNAcentral
AUGUUCCCAGAUGCCGGUGCAAGCCCAUACUUCCUACAAAAUCAGCAGCAGCUGUUCCAUGGAAUCAAUGGCAUUGGAGCGGACGCCGCCUUCGCCGGAGACGGCGGGCUGGCGGUGCCGGUGCCCGACACCCACCGCAGCGCCCUGCUGUACAACCUGUCCGUGCUCAAGGACAAGGUGCAGCAGCUGGAGCCGCUCGUCGGCCUCGCGGUCGGUCGCGGCCACGGCCACGUCGUCGACCCCGUGCUGCCCGGAGCCAGCGCCGUCGUCCAGGAGAUCAUCACCGUGGCCACAUCCAUGCUGUACGCCCUACAGCACCCUUACGGCCUCAGCGCGUUGACAACAUCCGGUUAUGACGCGGCCACGCGGGAGGGUGUGGUCGACGGCCAUGCAAAGAACGGCGCAGCGGAUGAUGACCAGGAGGCCAUGGUGGAUGCCAUGCGGCAGUGGCAGCAGCAGCACCAUGGUGGCGGCCACGACAUCCCCGGAAACUCCGCGGAGGCGGCCGCCGUGUCAUCUCCGACGCAAGCGACGACGGCCUCGGCGGUGGACACGACGAUCAUCGAGUUAGACGCGGCCGAGCUGCUGGCCAAGUACACGCACUACUGCCAGGUGUGCGGCAAGGGGUUCAAGCGCGACGCCAACCUGCGCAUGCACAUGCGCGCGCACGGCGACGAGUACAAGAGCAAGGCGGCGCUCGCCAACCCGACCACCAGGCUGUUCGCGACCUCCGGCGAGGACGCCGCCGACGCCGCGGGGAGAUCAAGGAACAGCAAGUACUCGUGCCCGCACGACGGGUGCCGGUGGAACCGGAGGCACGCCAAGUUCCAGCCGCUCAAGUCGGUCAUCUGCGUCAAGAACCACUACAAGCGCAGCCACUGCCCCAAGAUGUACGUCUGCAACCGCUGCAACCGCAAGCACUUCUCCGUCCUCUCCGACCUCCGCACCCACGAGAAGCACUGCGGCGACCACCGCUGGAUAUGCUCCUGCGGCACCACCUUCUCCCGCAAGGACAAGCUCGCCGGGCAUGUCUCCCUCUUCGCAGGCCACCAGCCCGUCGCGCCGCUCGCUGCCGGCAGGCACGGUAAGAGAUCCUCGUUAUUGUCCACGUCCUCCUCCGACCUUGUUGGAAACUGCGCCACCACCGGCUUCUCCAUUACAUGA